RNAcentral lists this unclassified non-coding RNA (389 nucleotides) under uncultured fungus. RNAcentral describes it as "sequence contains ITS1". The stretch from base 1 to 105 matches the Rfam family "5.8S ribosomal RNA", at positions 50 to 154 of the family's 154-position model. The record is from RNAcentral. Lineage: Eukaryota; Fungi.
GAAAUGCGAUACGUAGUGUGAAUUGCAGAAUUCCGUGAACCAUCGAAUCUUUGAACGCAUAUUGCGCUCGAGCCUUCGGGCAAGAGCAUGUCUGCCUCAGCGUCGGUUUAUACCCUCACCCCUCCCAACUUGUUGGGUGUGUUUGCUUCAUAGCAGGCCAUUGGGGUGGAUCUGGCUUCCCCAAUCUGCCGUCAGGCGGAUUGGGUUGGCUUAAGAGUAGAGGCUUAAGCAAGGACCCGAUAUGGGCUUCAACUGGAUAGGUAGCACCGGUGUAUGCCGACUACACGAAGUUGUUGCUUGUGGAUCUUGCUAGGAGCCAAGCAGGAACAUGCCUUUGGCAUGUCUAAACUUUCGACCUGAGCUCAGGCAAGGCUACCCGCUGAACUUAA